RNA transcript from Ictalurus punctatus (channel catfish), 14712 nucleotides. It is a transcript of the gene named multiple C2 domains, transmembrane 2a, with no coding region annotated. Lineage: Eukaryota; Metazoa; Chordata; Actinopteri; Siluriformes; Ictaluridae. The transcript is spliced from 24 exons. The record is from RefSeq and is a predicted model, not a curated record.
CUAGUAAGCUAUUUCCAAGCUUCCUAAUUAAUUGUCUAAAUUGAACAGUAAUUGUUUCUAAUCGCCUUAUGUGUUAUUUUUCUUUAAAGCUGCUUGAUGAUAUUGGAUUAGUAGAGGAAGUUCAGAAGGAAUUUUCCAGUUUGAGCAGCUCAGGUCUGUGUUUAAAUAGCUGACCAGACUGGAUUUUUCAGCAGGAACCUGAAUUGAGAACGCUUGAACCGAAACUACAAUGAUAACACUUGACACGCCCACAAGUGACAGAAUAAACCGGUCAAAUGAGACCAACAACUUCAGAUCUUCCGAGUGUUUACGAGUUCAUCGGAUUAAUGUUUUGUGCAAGGAAAUAUCAAUUCUACGCAAGUCUACAUUAACAUUUGAACUACCUAUAGGCAUCAAAGGAAUAAGCGAUCUCCAGUCAGAAUGGACCCCAAGAAGAAUAAAGUCUUUUCCAAACUGCGAGAAAAAACCAAGCCCCUGUUUAAUGUGAAGAUGGGGAAGAAAGCCAAGAAGACUCCCCUGCGAUACAGAAGGAGCAUUUCAGUACCAGACUUGUUAAGUGAUCGAUCCAUGCAGUCUCUUCUAGACACUACUGAUCGGUCUUUAUCCCCAGACUCGUUUGUUGGGCCAGUUCAUUCAUUUGUUUCUGAUGAAACACAGUGUGAAACCUCCAGCCUAACUGAAAGUCUCACUGUUACAGACACAACAUUAUCUGCAAAGUGCACUGACCCAUACACUGUCCCAGACAGCCCAUUUUCAAAAAAGGUCCUGGGCCAACCCAAUGCUACAGACACCUCUCUGGAUCAAGUUAUUACCCCAUACACACCAUCCUCAGCCAAGGUCCCAGACAACUUGUUACUUCCAAACACACCACCAGAUAAACGGAUGGAGGACAGGGAAAGAAACACCACAUGGUACAUAGAAGACAGUGAGUCAGCUUGUAGCACACCAUCUGAAGACCGGUCCUUCAUCUUCUGGUCUCCUGAGCAUGACCUGACAGGGUUAGAGCCUGUUACACCACAGUCCACAGAGAUGUUUAUUAUCGGCUCAGCUGAGGACAAGAAUGAAGCUUCCAAUGAGACCAACGACUAUGACACCAAUUUCUCAGGAAAAGAAACGAAAACUACUGCAUCAGGUCAGAAGCUCCAUUAUCUCCUCACCAUCAACUUAAAGGAGGGAAGGAACCUGCCCAUCAAAGAUCGCUGUGGUACCAGUGACCCGUAUGUCAAAUUCAGAAUAGAUGGCAAGACAGUCUACAAAAGCAAGGUUGUGUACAAGAACCUUAAUCCUACAUGGAACGAGUGUUUCUCCAUCCUCAUCAGGGACCUGGAGCAGAAUGUUUAUGUUAAGGUGUACGACCGGGAUCUGAGAUCUCGGGACUUCAUGGGUUCAAGCGUGAUCACGCUCAGUAACUUGGAGUUGGACAAAACAUCUGAGAUGAUCCUACAUUUGAAAGACCCUGGCAGUCUGGAAGAGUACAUGGGAGUAAUAAUCUUAGACGCCUGCGUGUCCAUCUGUGAGGGGCCCACCAAACGAAAUAAAUGGCCACAUAGGAGGAAAGGAAGCUUCAAUAAGGGUCAGCUCCGAGCGGCUGCCAUGCAGAAAAGCCAAGUGUGGAGUGGCGUAUACACUGUGGUGCUUGUGGAGGGGCAGGACCUGCCUGAAGGUGGCCAAGGAGACGUCUUUGUCCGCUUCAAACUGGGGGAGCAGAGGUUCCGAAGCAAAAAUCUGUGCAUUAAGACCAAUCCACAGUGGAGGGAGAAGUUCGAAUUCAACCGUUUCGAGGAUGGCCAACCAGAUGUGCUGCUGGUUGAGCUCUACUGCAAGAAGGGCAGAAAGUGUGAGGAAUGCUGGGGAAUGAAUGAACUUGACCUCUCACAGCUGCCAGCCAAUUCAACACAGACAUACAACGUGAUUACAAGCAAAGGGCGGUUGGUGUUUCUGGUCACACAGAACCCCUGUUCUGGAGUCUCCAUCUCUGACCUGGGCUCCACAUCCUUAGACAAUCCAUGUACCAAUGAAAGCAUCCUGAAGAAAUAUAGUCUGAAGAAAACACUGGAUAAUCUGAAGGAUGUUGGCUACCUCCAGGUCAAGGUUUUACGGGCUGCAGACCUUUCAUCUACAGAUCUGAAUGGUAAGAGUGACCCAUUUUGUGUGCUGGAACUUGGGAACAGCAAGCUGCAAACUCAAACCAUCCAUAAGACCCUCAAUCCAGAAUGGAGAACAGCCUUUACAUUUCCAAUUAAGGACAUCCAUGAUGUCCUAAUGCUGACCGUUUUUGGUGAAGAUGGAGACAAAGCACCAGACUUUCUGGGGAAAGUUGCUAUUCCUUUGCUUACUAUUUCUAAUGGACAACAAAUAACCAGUCUUUUGAAAAAGGACAAUUUGGAAGACAUGUCGAAAGGAAGCAUUACACUGGAAAUGAACGUUUUGUACAACCCAGUCAGAGCUGCCAUUCGAACCUUCUAUCCCAAAGAAACAAAGCUUGAGGAGGACAACCCAAAGUUCAAUAAAAAGCUGUUAGCACGCAACAUUUACCGUGUGAGGAAGAUCAGCAUGGCCAUUCUGUAUACGCUGCAGUACAUUAAAAGCUGCUUCCAGUGGGAGAGCACUCAGAGGAGCAUCACUGCCUUCCUGGUUUUUGUAUUGACGGUGUGGCACUUUGAGCUGUUCAUGUUGCCUCUCCUCCUCCUGCUGUUCAUCGGCAGGAACUAUUUCCACAUCACGCCAGGCGUGGGCAGCCACAGUCAGGACCUGGAGAGCAUCUCUGCCGCUGAGGACGAAGAUGAAGAGGAAAAGGAAUCAGAGAAAAGAGGCCUGAUGGAGAAAAUCCAUAUGGUUCAAGAAAUUGUGCUCACCGUCCAAAGCGUUCUCGAUGAAAUAGCUAGCAUCGGAGAAAGAUUAAAGAACACUUUCAACUGGUCAGUGCCAUUCUUGUCCUUCCUGGCCUGCUGUGUCCUGUUCAUUGCUACAGCUACACUCUACUUCAUCCCUUUGCGUUACAUUGUCUUGUUAUGGGGUAUUAACAAAUUUACAAAGAAGCUCCGCAACCCACAUGCCAUUGUAAACAACGAAAUAAUGGAUUUUCUCAGGAGGGUACCAUCUGAUGUUCAAAAGGUGCAGUAUAGCGAGCUGAGACCGCCUAGCAUCCAGAGUGCACAGAAGAAGAAGCGCUAGUGCUCAUGCAAGUUGUUCCGGAUGAAAGGGCGAGACAAUGGUUGAAAGUGGUCUCCUCCCUUCUGUGGGGAGGCUGCUCAGAUUCUCUCAAAUGUGUGUGUGUGUGUGUGUGUGUGUGUGUGUGAGAGAGAGAGAGAGAGAGACAGACAGAACAUUGUCACUCACUGACUUGCAGGCCAGCACAUUGGGAUGUAACUAACAGAGCAUGAUCAUGAAGAAGAAAGUAAAAGCAAAGUAACCCUGCAGCGAUCAUGCAAAACACAACAAGCAAUUCAUAAAUUGAUGAAUACAAUAAUACUAUAAAUUAAUAAGUGACACAAAAUGUGAUAUUAUAAUUUGAGGGUGACAUGGUUUUUUAAAUGAUUUUUUAAAGAAAAGAAGAUUAUACCUUAAUGUAUGACAGGCAUGGUAAAGUCUCCUCAUUUAGACUGUACAUAGCAAACAAUAUCGAAAAAUGCAAUCAGAAAUUGUGACGUGAACAGUUAUAUUUAUUAAGUGGAAGAAUGCAAAUAUGACCUUUUUAAAAAAAAAAAAAAUUACUAAUUAAUGUGUGUGGAUUAUGUGAUUUGUAUCAAUAUUUUUCAUCCCAUAUGUUUUUAUAAAAAAGUUAUCCUUUAUAAUGUUAUAAAGCUAACUAAUGGUUUGACUUCUUGAGUAUGUUAUUUUUCACUUCUCACAUCCUCAAUACUAACAUUAACUGUGAAGGAUGAAAUCUGUGUGUAAACACAGCGGCGUGCGGUGAGGUUGUGUGAUUAUCCAGCAUAUCCCUGCUUUACUGGAGGACUCUGGCCAUGACAGAACCACGGUCGCAUCAACAUAUCAAAGACCUGCAUGUGUCCAGAGCAGCGGGCUAAUGCACUGCUUUUGUUGUUCUAUCACAAUAACAAGGUCCAGAUGAGAGAGAGCUCAUCUCUCUCUUGUGCUCGCUCUCUUUCUCUUUCUCUCUCUCUCAUACACACAGACACAGACACACAGAGAGACAUAGAGAGAGUGAAUGCUCUCCAUUGCCUGCACUUAGUCUCUCCCAUUUUCAUUAAAAUCACCUCCAGUGCCUAAUGGCUCUCUAGCAGACCCAUCAGUGUGUAGUGUUGCUCUCUGUGAUGGAGCCCCAAGUACAGUAAAUGGAGCUUCUCUGCCUCAUCAACUUAUUUAUUCAUAUUAUAUACACAUUCCCUUUCUCUCCUCCAUCAGAGGGCCUUUUACAUAAAAAAAACAAAAUUUUCAAAGUGUUGCAACUCGAAUCGAACCACGGAAAGAAUUCAUAUUAUUUUUAUUGAAUGAUGAUCAUUACAUUAAUUGCAAUUAUGAGGUCUCUUUUUGGCAUGCAAAUGAAGAAUUUUGGCAUGGAUUUCAAUUCCUAUACAUCACUGGAGGAAUAUUUGUUUUGUCUUUCAGGAAAUUGGAGACAAAGAGAAACUUAAGUCAUUCUCUAUUUCCCCUUUAUAUAGCCUCGUAAAUAAUUAAAUAGACCGUUUGUAAAAAUAGCCAUGCUAGAACACGCACUGGAAAGUUUGUUCCAAAUGGAGCACUGAAUAUUUCCCCCCAACUCCUUUCUCUCCUCCACAGUUUGCUUUCUGGUGAAAGAGCAUCGCUCGGUGCAGCGUGAAGAGUUUGAUUGGCCUCGGGGGAGCCGUCAGAGCCCCAGGCUAUCUCUCUCUCUCUCUUUUUGACAGUCUGAUAGAGACAUCACAAUACUCUCCCAGGAGCUGCCACCAGGGGUCCGUUUCAGAGUGAGGGGGAGUGGAGGGCAGACAGGUGUGUGUGUGUGCGCGCAGCCCUGUGAGGGCGAGAGUUCUCUGUGUUACAGGUGCAGGCCUGACAGGCUUGGCUCCAGGAUCAGAAAGGCCAGGAUAAGAUGAAAGGAGGGAGUGGAGACCGACUGACCGUUUCGAGAACAAUGUCAUGACUUCCAAAUGGCCAUGCCAGACAAGCUCAACACACAGAUAAGAAAUUGCACAGAGACUUUCCCUCUUGUCCUCCUUUUCUUUCUGAUCCUGUUUUAUCAGUCAAGGGAAAUUUCCAAUGUUAAAGAAUGUUAAUAGGAAAAGACGAUCCUCCUUUGACACAAUAUAACAAUUUGGAAAAAAAAAAAACUGCUUGAUAAAUAUAGGAAUAGUUCCUAUUUUGCCAUAUUUUUUCAUUCUAUGCCUUCGGCUGAAUUGCCUUGUGUACCCUUGAGGAAGCACCUUGAGAGUCUUUCAGAAGCAACAGCAUUGAGAUGGAGAUAGAAACAUGGUGUAGAAAAAGGAGUGUAAAACCUUUGUUAACUAUCAAUUGUUGCCUCAAAUGGUCUGCGUUUAGCAUGCGCACACUCUGUCAGACAACAAUACUGAGUAUAAUUUAAUAGCAUAUUUCAUUUUAAUUAACAGUGAUAUAACACGGUGCGACUCGCCGCCUCCUGAGACCAGAGCACAAUAUUUGGUUUGAUGAAUCUGGCAGAGCCGCACUCAGUCCUUGCUCUUGCCCCUGGGAUUCAGGUAUCAUUAGAGACGCAUACAGAUCUGCUUUUUGUCUUGCAGAAAAAAGAGAUUAAAAAAACUGAAUUUGCCACAGUGAGUGGGUGACUGGAGAAGUGUUCCAUAUUAAUGGCCUUUCAUCAAGGACACAAUUAGGACACCUUUAUUUGACACAUUCCAUAGUAUUCGAAUGAAUAUGUAUAGUGUCCUGGAAUAAGCAACAGCCAAAAAAAGACAAUAAGCCACUGAUAUAUUUUGAAUUUCAAGACCAUUAAAACUCAUCAUGAGCCAAACUCAUAUUAAACAGCCUAGGGCAAGUAGUAUGCAAACAUGAAUUAUCAUAUGCCUAUACAGAUAUUAUACAGAAGUAAAGAAAUUUCCUCAGCCUGUUCUCUUGAAGAAAUAAGCAUACACAAAACGUGUGGUGUAUACAUACACACAACGCUCAUCAAGAAAUGGCUGAGUUUAUUUAAAUCUUUGCACAUUUAAGUAUUUAUAAAUGCAGUCAUAAUAUGCAUGUUUUAUUAUCUACUUCAUUAUGGUUAGAGAUGCCAUUGCAUUAUGUUAGUCUUCAGUCUUUGACACAUAGUUGGAGGAUCAGAGUCGUCAUCGUCUGUUGCCACUGAUAACGCAGGCAUGCCUAGGGCCUAGUUAGUUUCCAUCACUCUCAUUAACAAGGCCUGCUAAUUAUGGCCUGUGUGAACUCUCCUCAAGAUCCAAAGCAUGCCACUGCGCACAUCCUAAAUGAACAUACCAGUGAUUCGUGGAAAGAUCUAAUUGCAUGAAAAAGCUCCAGACUCAGAUUAAUUAGAUAUGGUCGUGCAGUGUAACCACUUUGCUCUAUGAUCAUGGUUUAAAGCACCCGGUGGCGGCAAAUGCUAAAGCACUGUUUGUUUUACUUGUGAGUCUGCAAUGUCAGCCACCAGGGUCCAAUUAGCCAGUGACUGAAGCCUGCAUUAGAUCCUCCUCUUUAGCUUUGACAGCACUGAGAGGCCCACGUGGUCAUGUCCCCGUACUGACUGCUGUGCUACAAACUCAACUCAAAUGUAACACAAACUCAUAUGAGAGGAUGACAGGCAGAGCAGUGUGUUCCCUUUUUAUGUUGUUGCUUUUUUUUUGCAUUAUGUUUUGAUUCCUGAAUCUGAUAUAAUAAAGAAUAGAUCAAUCCUGACAAAUCUCUUAACACCAAUCUACAAGGCAAAUUUAGCCACGCUUUUUGAGCACAGUUUACAGUGUGAAACACAUCAACCAAUCAUCAGUCUGUUUCACUCCAAACAUCAACAUUUGUAUAAUGAUUUUAGAAAAAAAUUAAGAAACAUCCAUUUAACAUCUCUCAACAUAAUUAAAAGCAGUGAUAUUCCUCAUCUUUGGUAAAAUGCACAUAUAUAAUAAAACAUUAACCAUUUUGGCAAAAAUUAUACAGUUCCAGUUACCACAGGCUACACACUACGAAUAGUCUUAAAACUCCACCAUGUCAAGUUAAGACAUAACACAUAUUCCUGCACAAAGCAAGAAUAGUGGAAUGUCCACGGGUCUUUAGGCAGCCAGCAAGAGACCAAUUAGCAAGUACUUUGAGUGUGAAGGAGAGGUGUGUGUGCGAAGGAGGGGGUAGGCUGAUGAUGAUGGCAGGAGGAGGAGGAGGAGGAGUCUGGGUGUCAGACACACAGAGAAACAAAGGCAUCAUCUUUCCAUGCAUGCCCUCCUCGCCCCUCUCCUGCACUGCACCAAUUACUGUCUGUUCAGUUUGGGUAUCAGUAUGCAGGCGGCCUCGCUUUCUCCGGCUCUCGCCUCAGGCCAUUGAAUAUGUUAGCGCCGCUGUGGGGCUCCGGGCUUCAGGGCACUGCACCCCCUAACCCUCUGGAUAAUUUGGGAUUCCUUCCCCCAAGCUAAAGGAAAGACAGAGAGAGAGAGUGAACAUAAAGCCACAUACAAAUCAAGAAAUAAGGCCUAACCAGCCGUCUACCCUGGGAUCCACUGAUUUAUUGAUUUGUUCCAUUUUUCAUUUGAUGUUAUUUGUAAAUUGAGCUUCAUAUGGUCCUCCAUGGCUUCAACUUUUAACUAACACAGCUGACACAGGUAGACACUGGAUAAUAACUAUCCUCUAAAGUGUGCUCUAUGGAUUAAGAAGGAAAAAAUGUCUUCCUUAAAGUCGGAACAGCUGAAUAACUGAUUUAAGCUAAAAUGGCAUUGCAUGGAGCAAUGUCAUGAGGACAUUUAGAAUUCUCUGUAGCAACUCGUAAAUGAGACUUCAUCCAGUAAAACCCAGAAAAUUUCCAACUUCCAACCAGAAGUUAUCGUUUUAAUAAAUGGCAGUAAGGCGGAAUCAGAUUUUCAUGUUCUUGAUAUGAAAGUCUAACGUCCGAAACGUGUCUCUUAAUUACUGAGGUACUAUUUGAUUAGGGAUCUGUAGUAAUCCAUUAAAUCAUAUCAUGUGAUGUGAUUAUCAUUGGCACACUAUGCAAGAAAAACACUAUCACAGCAUUAACAUGAUUUCAUAGCUUUAUCCUCAUCAAUGGAUUGCCAUCCAAACAUAUUCAUGGCUUUUGCCACCAGACCAGACUUUUUGUCACCAGACAAGAUUUUCCACUUCAGUUUGCUGAUUUCCACCUGAGCAAUGGCUCAAAGAAGAGCAAAAAAGGAAGAAAAGAAUGAAACAGCUUUGUGCUCACUCUCAGAUGUACAAAUGUGCCCAAAACAUUUAUUUAUGAGCUGCUGACAUUAAUGUCUCUUCAAUAUGCCUCUGUUUCCCCCAAGUCAGCUGGAGUAACUGAUUAUUACAUUAAUUAAUGUAGCGGUGAAUCAAUUAUCAAAAGUGGAAAUAACUAGCCACAAGAAAAGUAAAGGUAGACACUGACUGCAAUAAAACCAAGUGCUCUUGCUCUAAUGCUGUUACUUCAGUUUUUUAGAUUCUUGUCUGGCAAACUAAGAAAGUCUCAAAUCAGGUUUUCUUCAUCACAGUUAAUUGAUGCGAUAAUGUGAGAUGAGAUAAUAUGCACCAUAUGAGUAGAUGUCUCACAUGAUGUGAUUUGUAAUGGCACGCUAUACAUAAAAACAGUUUAAAAUAAACUCUCUGGUAUGAAAAUGUCUCAAUUUCAUACCUAUACUUUCACAAAUGUAAUAAUAGAUGCCAGGCAGGUGGCAUACAGUAAUAAUCUUUCAGUGCACAAUUCUUACCAAGGAACAAUUUCUUUAUUUCACUUUUCAGCAACAACUGCUCUUGGAAGCAAUCAUAACCUGUGCAAAAUUUCUGCAUGUGCAGUUUUAAAGUUUGAGUCCUGCUAAAUCUCUUUCAGCCAAGUCACUACAAAUUAUGGCAAAUUUGUACAAUAUGUAAGCUUGCUAGGGAAUAAAAUGUGUAUAACAAAGUAAUGACGCAUACUUUAGGCAGAAGUGCAAUUCUGCUUACCCAUGUGGUUCCGACAUAUUAUAUCUGGAUGUCUCGGACAGCAUUCACACUUCUAUUAUGCUAAUUUGCUUUGUAAAUAUAUCAGAAAAUAAUAUGGUUUUCAGACAUGUGAGCUGUGUUAGUCUGAGAUUUUAGGCUUUCCUCUUUACUGGGGCACCUGCUACACAGAGCUUGGCUCUUAAUCACUCUCAUCUGCACCCCCCCCCCCCCCCCCCCCCCCGCUGCUUCUAUAACUUGGACUUACUUUAGAAAGCAGAUCUGCUUGUCAAAUCCACUCACACUUCUUUCUAAUUCAGCCCAGAUGUGACGUUUCCCUGCUUUUCCUCUCUCGCUCUAUCCCUGCCUCUCUCCCCCACCUGCUUGGUGACCUGUGGACCCCAUGCCCAGGCUCUCAUUUGAUUCGCCGUCUUCUGAGUGAAAGGGCCGUUCUUUAGCUCACUGUGUUUCUUCUUUCUUCCUUCGCGUUGCCUGUAGGGCCUGUGUUGAAAGUGUGUGCAGAAAAAGCGCCAUCCCGGUCACCCACUUUUGUUGCGCCAUCAACGUCUCAAUCAGAAGCUCUGUGCCUGUGGCCUCUGAAUAAGCCACCUCCCAUGUAGAUGGCUGAGGACCAAGGAUUCAUGCAAGCAUGGCCUGAAGACUCUCUGACUGUGGUCCUUACAUUCACAUUCUCACAUUCUCUGAUCACACACAAACACACUGCAGUGCCUGCCAGCACUUUUCAGUAUGGUUUCUCAAUAGACAAACUGCAAGCUUAAAAAUUUUACAUAAUGAUAGAAGGAAAUUUUAGCUUAAUCAUGUUGGUCUGAUGGAACCUCAGCAUCAGGCCUGAGUGCAUAAUCUGGUACUUUGCGUUAGUUGUUUCAUUUUUUCUUUUUUUCUUCUCCCUUGCUUAAUUAUGGCAAUGCACAUGGCCAGGGCCUGAGCAGGUGCCUCUUACCCACAGUGCCAUGCUGACAAGAACUGUCAGUCAAAGCUAAAGAGCUCUUGCCGCUUCCCUUUCGUCAGUUUAGAACCGCACGCAAUUUGAGAAAGCCAAGGCUUAAGCAUGUAGGCAAGCAGCCCCAGACUGUCAGAGGGAAUUAAAAGCAUGUGUGUGGUUUGCCUAGCUAUCUGCGAGGUGCUUGUGGGAAGCUUGCUUGCUCUUUGCUCACGAUAAAGACUCCUACUUUGGGGACCCGCUGUGGUUAAGGCCCUGGCUGAUAGGAGCUGGCUUGGUUGUUAUUACAAUUAUCACUCAAAUUACCAGCAUCAUUACAGUUGCAGGCUGAUUCCUUCUCUGCAAGGGGGUUAGGCAAAAAAAAUUAAGGACGGGAUAAAAAAGAUUACUUUUUUUUUUUAAAUUUCUGUAGCCAAAAUCACCUGACAGCCUAUAUGCAUAUGAAAAACAUGAACAUAAUUGGGGCAUGGUGAUGCUUCUUUCAAGCUUCUGUGAACCACUUGUCCUUCUCAUCAACCCAUCUUUGUUUACCACUUCAGCAUACAAAUGCCAGUCAGUGAGAAGCAAGUAAUAGAAUUAAUGAAAGCACAUCUCUAUACUGUUCACACCCUCUCCUCUAUAUGUUGCACACAAGCCAGUUUGAUGGACAGAAUUAUGCAUGCUAAUGGAACGGUCCUGGCGCAGUCUCUGAGGAGCACAGAAAGAGACGCCCCCGUUGUUAUUCUUAUACCUGACCUGGAGGGCAUUGUCAAGCGGCGCAGAAACAGCUGGCCUUAAAAAGGAGUGCAUAAUCAACUAAAACAAUCAAAGAUAGGCACGUUGGUGUGGCGAUGCAGGUCCCUGAUCAGGCUGCUAGGGCUGGGGGAGAGGCGCCUGCUGCCAUGCCUGUGAAAACACAAGAAAGAGUGGGAAAGCGGGUCAGCGAGUCAGGGUUAUUAAACUCUACUGUGCUAUUGAGUGCCACUGAUAGGAGAAGACUGUGCACUAUUAGAGAGAAAAAAGGUAGAAGAGAAAACAUCGGAAAUCACUUCAAAUAUCUGACCACUGUCAAAUAAGAAAUAAACAUUACUUUGUAUUUGUGUAUAUUCAUGAUUUUUUGUACUACUUAUUUUCAUGUAAUUUGAUUCAUUUUGUUGUGAAUAUGAAUAUUACUGGGUAGUUAGAAUAAGUAUAUGGUCAAAAAGUAAAUAUCCAGGAAUUAAAUGCUAAAUACCACUAGACAAUAUCUGUCAACAUCUGCAUCUUUUUAAAUGACAAAUCUCACUGACAAAAAUUAUAUGCAUAUGCUGAUCCUGGUUAAUGUAACACUGGGUCUGAAACAAUUAAACAGAUUAAAUAUUUUGUAUUCCAUUAACCUUUAGAUUUAAAGAAAAAUAUUUCCUGCUUUUUACCUAUUACUGUUGUGUUUGCUCUAAUUUUGUUCAUACACGCUGAUAUUAAAAGAACACACAGAUGCACACACAUGAGGAUAUAAACAUUGAGGUUGCGGUCACAUGGGACAGAAUUGGCUCUACAGGUUAUUAUACCCACAGAAAAAUAAAGCACUUUUUUGCUCCUGUAUACUCCAUUUAUUUACUGAGAAAUCCACAGCUCUCACAAACUUAAUUCCAAUGUGUAUACCGGCGAUAUUUAUAUCCAGAAAUAUACAAGUGCAUUUUUUAUUGCACCACGAUGUAGGAAAAGAUGUAGAAUUUAGAGCAAAAAAAAAAAAAAAAAGAUUUGAUAAAACCAUCAAAAGCUGGACAGUUUCUUUGAUAGCUGGACAGCUGGGCAUGAGCCAUGGGGAAGAAGGCUGGGGUGAUCUAAAAUAGAUGACUACAUAAAGGAAAGAGUGGUAGUGGAACAGUAGUGAGAAGAUGUGUGUAGGUGGCCUGGCCAAGGCUUCCUUGCAGCAACUGCUCAGACCGUGGGAGGAGAAGGCUCUGGAAACAUACUUCGGCCCCCUUCUCGUCCUUUCUGUCUGUGUCCUCUAGCUACAACAACAUGUUUGGUCUUUUUGAAAACUUGUUUCUGGGCUGAGGAGCUGACCACAUCUUUGGAAGACCUCACAAGAUAAAUAACUGAAUUCUCAGUAGUCCUCAGUUUUCCAAAGCUGUUCUCUCUUAGUAAUCUAUUUAUUUGCCUGAUAUUCAGGGGCCAAUGGAAAUGCACUUUCAACGAGCAGUACACUUGGAGAACAUUUAUUAUAAUAAAUGCAGUUUUCCCUUUGGUUAUUCAGUAUAAUACAUUAUUUUGUAUUUACACACCAGUGCCAUAUAGUCAGAACAUCAGAAGCUGACAUCAUUAACUGCUAGUUUCUCUAUUUUAUCCCCCACUUUAAUGAUGGAAGUCACAGCUAAAAUAUUUGUAAAUAUCUGGUUGACCUAUCAAUAAUCUUUGUCCUAAAUAACUCCAGUAACUUAGAGUUGAUGUCUAACAUCAGUAGGUGGCAGUGUGGCACCACAUAAAGCAAGAACAUGGCUCACUUUGCGGAGGAAGGUACGAGCCUGUUCCUCAUAUUUAAUUAGACGGAAACAGACACUUCCAUGUUCACUCUUCAGCUGAUAGCUCUACUUUUUUCACUUCUCUUCUGGUAACUUUUAAAGUAGUAAAAAAUAAAUAAAUAAAUAAAUAAAAGUGGCAUUCAGUGUGGCAAAUCAUGGGCCAAGAUGAAGGGUUUAAACCUCUCUGAAAAAAAAAUAAAUUUAAAAAACAAAAACGUAAGGGCUAAUUUAUGUAAUUAUGACCAGAAGACUUAUAUAUGAAAUAUGCAGGGAUUGUUUGAAAAUAAAUAAAUAAAUUAAAACGAAAUUAGAUAGAAACUGGCAUAAAAUGCAACAUACAUGGCUGACAUCUCCUAAACAACUGAUCGUGAACUUCUCACUCAAUGAUUCAAAUGGUUUAUCCAGUACAAUUGUGGAAUUUCUACACAGCAUGAAAGGAAACAGCUGGGAUGCCAUGCUAUACUAAACUAAAUGGAGCCUUGUUCACGUGGUGCAUGUAAGCUAAACAACGCACUGCGGAUAUGAGACUGAGAAAUGGAGAGAAAGAAAACCCAGUGAACGUGUGACUCUGAAGCUUGGUGUUACAAUAACCCACGCAAUUCUUAUUAAAGGCAUAAAGCCCCUGCAUGCAAAUUAAUAACUAGCCUGUGAAGGGCUAGCUAAUGAACUCAGACCAUAUACAACACACACACACACACACACACACACACACACACAAUAUCACCUUUUUUAAACAUUUUUUUUUUUAAAGGUGAACUAAAAACAGCCUGCUUUUUAUCCAUAGUAAAAGCCUGAGUCAGAUUUGCUUACUUUCAGCCUUUUAUUUUGUUCAGAUGGUCAGAAGGGAUAAGCAGACAGGACUGGGACACAGCCUUCUCUUUUUACAUUAAUUACAGAAAGGAUCAAUUAACAGUGAUGAAACCCAUGGCGGCAUACUGACUAGCUGAUAGUCCAAUCAAGCCUUGAAAUGCAGAGCAGUCGGCAUGUCUGACGUUCCUCUCUCUUUUUUAUCUCUCCAAACUUAAUUGCAAUUUUCCAGAGUAGAAUGACGUUAUGGAAACGACUGGACCGAAUUAGCAUCAUAUGAAUAAGUAUGUACAUGCUAUUGGCAAAACAUUUGUCUGUUUUCAUUUGUGAUUUGAGCAUUAGAGUGUGUCCUGUGCUGUAUUUGGUGCAUGCAAAGGGAAAUAUUAUGUGAGACGAGUAUGGCCUCUUCAUUUCUUCAGCUAUUCUUCCUCCCGCUUUUACGUCUUUAUGCCCACCUUUAUCAUGGAAAUUUGGAACAGAAGCUAUUAGCAACAUGAACGGUAGCUUUUGCUGAGUUGCCAAACAUCUUGGACGAAGACAAUUUGUGUCUUGCAGUCCAAUCAUGGGCUUCAUAAUACAGAGAAUAUAUUUGCAUGUUAUGGCUUCAUAUUUAUUAUAUUUUAUUAUACAGUAAAAACAAGCAUCUUUACUUCAUUAAAAAGAAUUAAAGGUGAUUUAAAAAAAUAAUCACACAAGUCUGUUUCAGCACAUGGCAUUGAAAAACUGUAUAUAUAAUUGGAAUGUUAAAAAUCAUGUGUUUCAUUUAUAUAGUUGCAGGCAAUCAUUUUAUUUAUUAGAUACAAUAUCAAAUUGCUGCAUAAAAACUGUCAGCAUUUGGCCUUUGAUAUACCAGGAACCAAGGUGCUACUAUAUAUAAUCAAGAUCAGCUCUUGUCAUCUCGAGUGGAGGAGAUCAGUGUGACAGCAUACGCUGCUGUGUUCUGCAGGACAUGUAGCCAUAUUUGCUUGUUUUUAAUAAUUCAUCCAGUUAUUUUAACUAUAUUAGCAAAGAUUAAACACAGCGGCGUUGCUCAUUACUUUGGGAAAACAGCCCGGCAAAAGCUCAUUUCCUGUCGAGGGAAACUGACUAACCCCCGAUUGACCUUCUGAUAUUUCUAUUACCAUGGCCCCAUGUUUAAGGCAAGCCUUAGAAAUCCAGCUCCAGCACCAUAAACAUGAAUGACAAGAUGAGCUUUUUAAAUGUUUUCCUGUUUAGAUUCCAAAACUAACCAAGGAGAUCUUAUGAUACAUUUUUAUAUGAGAAAUUGUAUAAAUACAAAAUACAAAGUAAUAAACUGGUUUGCUUUUCAGUUAUAUUUGUGAUUAUUCUCAUCAUACACACAUAUAUACUCAACCCUUGGUUUAAAUUCUGAAAACAAAACAUUUCAGUCAUUUGUCAACCAACAAGAACAUGUUCAAAUCCAUAAGCCAGUUCCAAUUGGGUUGUUUC